CAGUAGCCGCGGGAAUACGAGGGGGGCAAGCGUUGUUCGGAAUUAUUGGGCGUAAAGGGCGCGUAGGCGGUUUGGCAAGUUUGGUGUGAAAUCUUCGGGCUCAACUCGAAGUCUGCACCGAAAACUGCCGGGCUUGAGUAUGGGAGAGGUGAGUGGAAUUUCCGGUGUAGCGGUGAAAUGCGUAGAUAUCGGAAGGAACACCUGUGGCGAAAGCGGCUCACUGGACCAUUACUGACGCUGAGGCGCGAAAGCUAGGGGAGCAAACAGGAUUAGAUACCCGCGUAGUCCCUGUCUCUUAUAC
This 301-nucleotide ribosomal RNA is filed under the name uncultured bacterium. Its description in RNAcentral is "partial 16S ribosomal RNA". It matches the Rfam family "Bacterial small subunit ribosomal RNA", at positions 509 to 807 of the family's 1533-position model. The record is from RNAcentral.